RNAcentral lists this ribosomal RNA (274 nucleotides) under uncultured bacterium. Its description in RNAcentral is "partial 16S ribosomal RNA". It matches the Rfam family "Bacterial small subunit ribosomal RNA", at positions 523 to 796 of the family's 1533-position model. The record is from RNAcentral.
AUACGUAGGAUCCGAGCGUUGUCCGGAUUUACUGGGCGUAAAGGGCGAGUAGGCGGCCUGCUAAGUCUCAUGUGAAAUCUCCCGGCUCAACUGGGAGGGGUCAUGGGAAACUGCCAUGCUCGAGGGCAGCAGAGGAGAGCGGAAUUCCGGGAGUAGCGGUGAUAUGCGUAGAUACCCGGAGGAACACCCGUGGCGAAAGCGGCUCUCUGGGCUGUACCUGACGCUAAGGCACGAAAGCGUGGGGAGCAAACAGGAUUAGAAACCCUAGUAGUCC